UUUGCUCCCUGAAUGGUUAGCGGCGGACGGGUGAGUAACACGUGGGCAACCUGCCUGUAAGACUGGGAUAACUUCGGGAAACCGGAGCUAAUACCGGAUAAUCCUUUUCCUCUCAUGAGGAAAAGCUGAAAGUCGGUUUCGGCUGACACUUACAGAUGGGCCCGCGGCGCAUUAGCUAGUUGGUGAGGUAACGGCUCACCAAGGCGACGAUGCGUAGCCGACCUGAGAGGGUGAUCGGCCACACUGGGACUGAGACACGGCCCAGACUCCUACGGGAGGCAGCAGUAGGGAAUCUUCCGCAAUGGACGAAAGUCUGACGGAGCAACGCCGCGUGAGCGAUGAAGGCCUUCGGGUCGUAAAGCUCUGUUGUUAGGGAAGAACAAGUAUCGGAGUAACUGCCGGUACCUUGACGGUACCUAACCAGAAAGCCACGGCUAACUACGUGCCAGCAGCCGCGGUAAUACGUAGGUGGCAAGCGUUGUCCGGAAUUAUUGGGCGUAAAGCGCGCGCAGGCGGUCCUUUAAGUCUGAUGUGAAAGCCCACGGCUC
RNAcentral lists this ribosomal RNA (548 nucleotides) under bacterium BaP2-80. RNAcentral's name for it is "bacterial SSU rRNA". It matches the Rfam family "Bacterial small subunit ribosomal RNA", at positions 75 to 610 of the family's 1533-position model. RNAcentral also lists the same sequence under 1 other name. The record is from RNAcentral.